GCCAGGCGCAGUGGCAUGUGCCUGUAGUCCCAGCUACUUGGAAGGCUGAGGUGGGAGGAUCACUUGAGCCCAGGAGUUCUGGGCUAUGCCGAUCGGGUGUCCACACUAAGUUCUGCAUCAAUAUGGUGACCUCCUGGGAGUGGGGGACCACCAGGUUGCCUAAGGAGGGAUGAACCGGCCCAGGUCGGAAACAGAGCAGGUCAAAACUUGCAUGCUGAUUAGUAGUGGUAUCACACCUGUGAAUAACCACUGUACUCCAGCAUGGGCAACAUAGCGAGACCCCCAUCUCUU
This is an unclassified non-coding RNA of Callithrix jacchus (white-tufted-ear marmoset), 291 nucleotides long. It matches the Rfam family "Metazoan signal recognition particle RNA". From Rfam's summary of the family: The signal recognition particle (SRP) is a universally conserved ribonucleoprotein. It is involved in the co-translational targeting of proteins to membranes. The eukaryotic SRP consists of a 300-nucleotide 7S RNA and six proteins: SRPs 72, 68, 54, 19, 14, and 9. Lineage: Eukaryota; Metazoa; Chordata; Mammalia; Primates; Cebidae. The record is from Ensembl.